UCUUCUUCGCUCUGUAAAUAUCCUUAAUUCAACAUCGAGGUCAUAAUCUUUCUAAUCAAUAUGGUCUAUCAAGAAAAUUAUGCUGUUAUCCCUGAAGUAAUUUAUUCUUAUUGUCCAAUUUAAGGGUCCUUUUAAUCACUAACCAGUGUCAUGUCGAAUAUAGUUUAAAUAUAUUAGCCUUCCCAGCCAAAACGAUUUGAAAUCCGGUUAUUUUACCCACCUUAUCAAUUGUUAUAAUUUUACAGGGUCUUAUCGUCCCUGAGUUAUAUGCUUACGAAUUUUCACGAAAGUUUUAAUUUUCUUUUAUUGUAAGGAUAGCAAUUUUCCGUAAAUCCUUUCAUACUAUCUCUCAUUUAAAGAGCAAAUUAUUAUGCUACCUUAGUAUAGUUAGGGUACUAUAGCCAUUAACAUCUGCAUUGGGCAGGACUGACCUAAUAUCUAUAUUCAUUGAGACAUGUUU
This 460-nucleotide ribosomal RNA is filed under the name Campylaspis macrophthalma. RNAcentral's name for it is "partial large subunit ribosomal RNA". Lineage: Eukaryota; Metazoa; Arthropoda; Malacostraca; Cumacea; Nannastacidae. The record is from RNAcentral.